ACGUAGGGGGCGAGCGUUGUCCGAAGUUACUGGGCGUAAAGAGCGCGUAGGCUGGUCUUUAAGUGAGUGGUGAAAGGUUCGGGCUCAACCCGGACACUGCCUUUCAUACUGGGGACCUUGAGUGUGGGAGAGGCGAGUGGAAUGGUCGGUGUAGCGGUGAAAUGCGUAGAUAUCGAUCGGAACACCCAUGGCGAAGGCAGCUCGCUGGCCUGACACUGACGCUGAGGCGCGAAAGCGUGGGGAGCAAACAGGAUUAGAUACCCUGGUAGUCCACGCCGUAAACGAUGAGUGCUAGAUGUAAGGGGUAUCGACCCCCCUUGUGUCGCAGCUAACGCAAUAAGCACUCCGCCUGGGGAGUACGGCCGCAAGGUUG
RNAcentral lists this ribosomal RNA (373 nucleotides) under uncultured bacterium. RNAcentral describes it as "bacterial SSU rRNA". It matches the Rfam family "Bacterial small subunit ribosomal RNA", at positions 525 to 896 of the family's 1533-position model. The record is from RNAcentral.